RNAcentral lists this ribosomal RNA (370 nucleotides) under uncultured prokaryote. Its description in RNAcentral is "bacterial SSU rRNA". It matches the Rfam family "Bacterial small subunit ribosomal RNA", at positions 524 to 896 of the family's 1533-position model. The record is from RNAcentral.
UACGGAGGGUGCAAGCGUUAUCCGGAUUCACUGGGUUUAAAGGGUGCGUAGGCGGGGAGGUAAGUCAGUGGGGAAAUCUUGGAGCUCAACUCCAGAACUGCCAUUGAUACUAUCGAUCUUGAAUAUUGUGGAGGUGAGCGGAAUAUGUCAUGUAGCGGUGAAAUGCUUAGAUAUGACAUAGAACACCCAUUGCGAAGGCAGCUUGCUACGCAUAUAUUGACGCUGAGGCACGAAAGCGUGGGGAUCAAACAGGAUUAGAUACCCUGGUAGUCCACGCCCUAAACGAUGGAUACUCGACAUACGCGAUACACUGUGUGUGUCUGAGCGAAAGCAUUAAGUAUCCCACCUGGGAAGUACGUUCGCAAGAAUG